GUAAGGAAUAUUGGACAAUGGGGGAAACCCUGAUCCAGCCAUGCCGCGUGUGUGAUGAAGGCCUUCGGGUUGUAAAACACUUUUAGAUGUGACGAUGAUGACGGUAACAUCAGAAAAAGCUCCGGCUAACUUCGUGCCAGCAGCCGCGGUAAUACGAAGGGAGCGAGCGUUGUUCGGAAUCACUGGGCGUAAAGCGUGCGUAGGCGGUUUUGUAAGUAAGAAGUGAAAGCCUGGGGCUCAACCUCAGAAUUGCUUUUUAGACUGCAAGGCUAGAGUACCGGAGAGGCUAAUGGAAUUCCGAGUGUAGAGGUAAAAUUCGCAGAUAUUCGGAGGAACACCAGUGGCGAAGGCGAUUAGCUGGACGGUAACUGACGCUGAGGCACGAAAGCGUGGGGAUCAAACAGG
RNAcentral lists this ribosomal RNA (405 nucleotides) under uncultured Vibrionaceae bacterium. Its description in RNAcentral is "bacterial SSU rRNA". It matches the Rfam family "Bacterial small subunit ribosomal RNA", at positions 354 to 776 of the family's 1533-position model. The record is from RNAcentral. Lineage: Bacteria; Pseudomonadati; Pseudomonadota; Gammaproteobacteria; Vibrionales; Vibrionaceae.